GGUCCGGUAGCUCAGUGGUAGAGCAGAAGCCUUUUAAGCUUUUGGUCCUGGGUUCGAAUCCCAGCCGGAUCA
This 72-nucleotide transfer RNA is filed under the name Candidatus Daviesbacteria bacterium RIFCSPHIGHO2_02_FULL_39_41. Its description in RNAcentral is "tRNA-Lys". It matches the Rfam family "tRNA". From Rfam's summary of the family: Transfer RNA (tRNA) molecules are approximately 80 nucleotides in length. The record is from RNAcentral. RNAcentral also lists the same sequence under 4 other names. Lineage: Bacteria; Candidatus Daviesiibacteriota.